UUAUUUAUUUAUUUAUUUUCUGAAUUUUCAGUUUAUUUAUUUAUUUAUUUUUGAAUUUUUAGUUUAUUUAUUUUCUGAAUUUUCAGUUUAUUUAUUUAUUUAUUUUCGAAUUUUCAGUUUAUUUAUUUUCUGAAAAAUUUAUUUUCCAGUUUUCAUUUUAAUUAUGUUUCAGUUUUUAGUUUAUUUAAUUAAAGAGUAAAAAAGAAGAAGAAAGAAAUAGCGUAUAUA
This 228-nucleotide long non-coding RNA is filed under the name Salvia miltiorrhiza (redroot sage). RNAcentral describes it as "long non-coding RNA (SMIL_LNC009354)". The record is from RNAcentral. Lineage: Eukaryota; Viridiplantae; Streptophyta; Magnoliopsida; Lamiales; Lamiaceae.